RNAcentral lists this unclassified non-coding RNA (274 nucleotides) under Hevea brasiliensis (rubber tree). The record is from RNAcentral. Lineage: Eukaryota; Viridiplantae; Streptophyta; Magnoliopsida; Malpighiales; Euphorbiaceae.
UCCCCAAUUUCUUAAGAUAAAAGGCCAGCUUAGCACAAACAGUAGUCUUUCCAACGCCCUGCAGUCCUGCUAAUAAUAUCACCGUGGGGCCAGACUUUGCAUAUACCAGAUCGGUCAUUUCUCCCCCCAUCAAUUUCACAAGUUCGUCACGAACAAUCUUCACUAGUUGUUGAUCAGGUUUCACCCCCCGAAUCAAGCCAACUCCGACAGCCUGGUCACUCACAGACUGCACGAACCGUCUCACUACCGGCAAACUCACAUCAGCUUCCAAUAG